UACAUGGGGUGCAAACGUUGCUCGGAAUUAUUGGGCGUAAAGCGCACGUAGGCGGUUUGUUAAGUCGGAUGUGAAAUCCCUCGGCUCAACUGAGGAAGUGCAUCCGAAACUGGCAGGCUUGAGUACUAAAGAGGGUCGCGGAAUUCCCGGUGUAGAGGUGAAACUCGUAGAUAUCGGGAGGAACACCGGUGGCGAAGGCGGCGACCUGGGUAGAUACUGACGCUGAGGUGCGAAAGCGUGGGGAGCAAACAGG
Molecule: ribosomal RNA, 253 nt
Filed under: uncultured bacterium
Lineage: Bacteria
Description: partial 16S ribosomal RNA
Rfam family: Bacterial small subunit ribosomal RNA
Source: RNAcentral